GGCGGCAGGCUUAACACAUGCAAGUCGAUCGGUAACAGGGGUAGCUUGCUACCCGCUGACGAGCGGCGGACGGGUGAGUAAUGCAUAGGAAACUGCCCAGUAGUGGGGGAUAGCCCGGGGAAACCCGGAUUAAUACCGCAUACGUCCUUCGGGAGAAAGCAGGGGAUCUUCGGACCUUGCGCUAUUGGAUGUGCCUAUGUCGGAUUAGCUGGUUGGUGAGGUAAUGGCUCACCAAGGCGACGAUCCGUAGCUGGUCUGAGAGGAUGAUCAGCCACAUCGGGACUGAGACACGGCCCGAACUCCUACGGGAGGCAGCAGUGGGGAAUAUUGGACAAUGGGGGCAACCCUGAUCCAGCCAUGCCGCGUGUGUGAAGAAGGCUUUCGGGUUGUAAAGCACUUUCAGUGAGGAGGAAAAGUUAGUCCUUAAUACGGGCUAGCCUUGACGUUACUCACAGAAGAAGCACCGGCUAACUCCGUGCCAGCAGCCGCGGUAAUACGGAGGGUGCAAGCGUUAAUCGGAAUUACUGGGCGUAAAGCGCGCGUAGGUGGUUUGAUAAGCGAGAUGUGAAAGCCCCGGGCUUAACCUGGGAACGGCAUUUCGAACUGUCAGGCUAGAGUGUGGUAGAGGGUAGUGGAAUUUCCUGUGUAGCGGUGAAAUGCGUAGAUAUAGGAAGGA
This 676-nucleotide ribosomal RNA is filed under the name bacterium L15. RNAcentral's name for it is "bacterial SSU rRNA". It matches the Rfam family "Bacterial small subunit ribosomal RNA", at positions 38 to 705 of the family's 1533-position model. The record is from RNAcentral.